UUCGGAGAAAGAGUUGAACAAACGAUUCAACUCUGAACAGUGCCCAAAACCGAAGGCUAGGAUCCGACAGAAAAAAACAACAGGAUCUGAAGCUGCUGAACAGCCCCAGGUUGAGGAAUAAGGUUUAGAUUCGAUCCAAUUUCCUGACCUAUACCGUUCGUGAGCUACGCCGUUCAACUUUGAUUGACUAGCACGAAAUACAGGCACGAACAAAAACAGACAGCCCUGGACAAGGAGGGAGUGAUAAGACUACGUUAUUUGUGCUGCGAUGUUUCAGUCGGUGGAACUAAGGCUGCCGUGUUCAUGAGUACAGCAGAAUGAGGUCUCUUCUUUCACGAGAGGCUGACCACAAUGAUGAGCUCUGAUGGGAGAGAUCCCCCCCGUGAGAUGAACCCACAACUAUCCCACCGUGUCUGAAGACCAUAGAUCAGUGUCCCAAGGUACCGCAGUGUGAGCUCAUUGGGAUUGGAUUCAUUUGAUGGGUCAGCACUUUUAAUGCACUUCAAUUCAAAAACACAAAAUCACAGAGAUUUCAUAUGGCCUUUUAUACGAACUACGGUGGUUGUGCUUU
Molecule: long non-coding RNA, 571 nt
Organism: Puntigrus tetrazona (Sumatra barb)
Lineage: Eukaryota; Metazoa; Chordata; Actinopteri; Cypriniformes; Cyprinidae
Exons: 3
Source: RefSeq, a predicted model, not a curated record